GAUGAACGCUGGCGGCGUGCCUAAUACAUGCAAGUCGAGCGAACGGACGAGAAGCUUGCUUCUCUGAUGUUAGCGGCGGACGGGUGAGUAACACGUGGAUAACCUACCUAUAAGACUGGGAUAACUUCGGGAAACCGGAGCUAAUACCGGAUAAUAUUUUGAACCGCAUGGUUCAAAAGUGAAAGACGGUCUUGCUGUCACUUAUAGAUGGAUCCGCGCUGCAUUAGCUAGUUGGUAAGGUAACGGCUUACCAAGGCAACGAUGCAUAGCCGACCUGUGAGGGUGAUCGGCCACACUGGAGCUGAGACGCGGUCCAGACUCCUACGGGAGGCAGCAGUAGGGAAUCUUCCGCAAUGGGCGAGAGCCUGACGGAGCAACGCCGCGUGAGUGAUGAAGGUCUUCGGAUCGUAAAACUCUGUUAUUAGGGAAGAACAUAUGUGUAAGUAACUGUGCACAUCUUGACGGUACCUAGUCAGAAAGCCACGGCUAACUACGUG
Molecule: ribosomal RNA, 497 nt
Filed under: uncultured bacterium
Lineage: Bacteria
Description: partial 16S ribosomal RNA
Rfam family: Bacterial small subunit ribosomal RNA
Source: RNAcentral